Molecule: ribosomal RNA, 253 nt
Filed under: uncultured bacterium
Lineage: Bacteria
Description: partial 16S ribosomal RNA
Rfam family: Bacterial small subunit ribosomal RNA
Source: RNAcentral
UACAGGGGGGGCAAGCGUUGUUCGGAAUUACUGGGCGUAAAGGGUUCGUAGGUGGCCAACUUAGUCAGACGUGAAAUCCCUCAGCUUAACUGGGGAACUGCGUCUGAUACUGGAUGGCUUGAGUGCGGGAGAGGUGAGUGGAAUUCCCAGUGUAGAGGUGAAAUUCGUAGAUAUUGGGAAGAACACCAGUGGCGAAGGCGGCUCACUGGCCCGUAACUGACGCUGAGGUGCGAAAGCGUGGGGAGCAAACAGG